UGAGGAAUAUUGGGCAAUGCCCGCAAGGGUGACCCAGCAACGCCGCGUGGAGGAUGAAUGUCGUAAGAUUGUAAACUCCUGUUAGAGGGGAAGAAUAGUACCGGUUGGACCGGUAUAUGACUGUACCCUCAGAGAAAGCCCCGGCUAACUACGUGCCAGCAGCCGCGGUAGUACGUAGGGGGCAAGCGUUGUCCGGAUUUACUGGGUGUAAAGGGCGCGCAGGCGGGAUAAAAAGUCAGUGGUGAAAUCCUACAGCUUAACUGUAGAACUGCCUUUGAUACUUUUAUUCUUUAGUUCGGGAGAGAGAGACGGAAUUCCAGGUGUAGUGGUGAAAUACGUAGAUAUCUGGAAGAACACCAGUUGCGAAGGCGGUCUCUUGGUCCGACACUGACGCUGAGGCGCGAAAGCGUGGAGAGCAAACA
Molecule: ribosomal RNA, 422 nt
Filed under: uncultured bacterium
Lineage: Bacteria
Description: bacterial SSU rRNA
Rfam family: Bacterial small subunit ribosomal RNA
Source: RNAcentral